Molecule: transfer RNA, 73 nt
Filed under: Patiria miniata (bat star)
Lineage: Eukaryota; Metazoa; Echinodermata; Asteroidea; Valvatida; Asterinidae
Also listed under: 1 other name
Description: tRNA-Ile
Rfam family: tRNA
About the family: Transfer RNA (tRNA) molecules are approximately 80 nucleotides in length. Their secondary structure includes four short double-helical elements and three loops (D, anti-codon, and T loops).
Source: Rfam by way of RNAcentral
GGUCGAUUAGCUCAGUCGGUAGAGCGUCGUGCUGAUAACGCGAAGGUCGUGGGUUCGAGCCCCACAUUGACCA